CGGGAGGCAGCAGUGGGGAAUAUUGCACAAUGGGCGCAAGCCUGAUGCAGCCAUGCCGCGUGUAUGAAGAAGGCCUUCGGGUUGUAAAGUACUUUCAGCGGGGAGGAAGGUGUUGUGGUUAAUAACCGCAGCAAUUGACGUUACCCGCAGAAGAAGCACCGGCUAACUCCGUGCCAGCAGCCGCGGUAAUACGGAGGGUGCAAGCGUUAAUCGGAAUUACUGGGCGUAAAGCGCACGCAGGCG
RNAcentral lists this ribosomal RNA (243 nucleotides) under Salmonella enterica subsp. enterica serovar Infantis. RNAcentral's name for it is "partial 16S ribosomal RNA". It matches the Rfam family "Bacterial small subunit ribosomal RNA", at positions 342 to 577 of the family's 1533-position model. The record is from RNAcentral. Lineage: Bacteria; Pseudomonadati; Pseudomonadota; Gammaproteobacteria; Enterobacterales; Enterobacteriaceae. RNAcentral also lists the same sequence under 5 other names.